This is a long non-coding RNA of Etheostoma spectabile (orangethroat darter), 524 nucleotides long. RefSeq lists it as uncharacterized. Lineage: Eukaryota; Metazoa; Chordata; Actinopteri; Perciformes; Percidae. The transcript is spliced from 2 exons. The record is from RefSeq and is a predicted model, not a curated record.
AAAGCAUAUUAUCAGUCUGCAUGUUGCUUCAACUGGCAGGAUCUUGUUUUUCAAGAGUCCAGAAAAAGGCAGGCUUUCAAUCGGAGGAAAGGGUGUUGCACUGUCCAAUCAAUACACCUCUGUGCACCUUAAGGCUAAAAUGAAAGUGUCAGUCUGGAUCAUCCGCAGGAGCAGCUCCCACAUGCUUUGGAGAACUCUACAAGGCAGCAGACACAAUAAGACACCCACACAAUUGUUUUUACCGGCUCUUCUAAUAACACCCCAGUACCCUCACUUAGCCUUGUGUGUGUUUUCACAGAUAAUAGCUUGAUAAUGUUGAGUUGUAACACAAAACAUGUCUGAUGGGUAUUAUUAUUAUUAUGGCAAAUAUUACACAAUUACAGAAUUGUAUUUUCUGUGCUGUCACAGUUUUCACCUGGUCUCACAAAAUAGUAAGUCAUUUUUUUUAGAGAAGAGGAAACAGGGAGCAUGGUUAUGUAACUUGAUAUAAGGAUAUGCCUGUUAUGAAGUUCCACAACAAUCAA